CAAAAAGACAAAGCUCAAUGGCAGGACGAUAUACAGAAACAUCCUCCUUAUGAAGACAUUGUGUUGCCUGCAUUUAUUUAAAUGACGAGCUGAGUCAGACUACUGACAACUGACUCAUUCCCCUACAUUCUCACACCACACUGGUCAUUCCCCUACAUUCUCACACAGGUCAUUCUCCUACAUUCUCACAUUGGUCAUUCCCCUACAUUCUCACACCACACUGGUCAUUCCCCUACAUUCUCACACCACACUGGUCAUUCCCCUACAUUCUCACACAGGUCAUUCUCCUACAUUCUCACAUUGGUCAUUCCCCUACAUUCUCACACCACACUGGUCAUUCCCCUACAUUCUCACACCACACUGGUCAUUCCCCUACAUUCUCACACCACACAGGUCAUUCCCCUACAUUCUCACACCACACUGGUCAUUCCCCUACAUUCUCACACCACACUGGUCAUUCCCCUACAUUCUCACACCACACAGGUCAUUCCCCUACAUUCUCACACCACACUGGUCAUUCCCCUACAUUCUCACACCACACUGGUCAUUCCCCUACAUUCUCACACCACACAGGUCAUUCCCCUACAUUCUCACACCACACUGGUCAUUCCCCUACAUUCUCACACCACACAGGUCAUUCCCCUACA
This is a long non-coding RNA of Oncorhynchus keta (chum salmon), 647 nucleotides long. RefSeq lists it as uncharacterized. Lineage: Eukaryota; Metazoa; Chordata; Actinopteri; Salmoniformes; Salmonidae. The record is from RefSeq and is a predicted model, not a curated record. The transcript has 4 exons.